Coffea arabica (coffee) is the source of this 1171-nucleotide non-coding RNA. Lineage: Eukaryota; Viridiplantae; Streptophyta; Magnoliopsida; Gentianales; Rubiaceae. The record is from RefSeq and is a predicted model, not a curated record.
UUAUACAUCACGAGGAACAACUUUUGUCAUAUGUAGGAAGACAAACUUAUUUUGUAUUGAUGCUUAGUUGAUUUGUGUUAAAUGAAUUGCUUAUUGUAAUGAAUAUGCUUGCAAUAUUAUAAAGCCACAUCUUGAAGUCUAUUGAUGUCCUACACUGUGUAGGCAGUGACCAAUUGUUGUUGCUUAACAGGUCCCAUAAGUUCGUAUUUGCAUAAUUCUUGACAUGUUUCUCUUUUUUGGGUGGCAAAGGAGGCUUCGUUCUUUAUUCUGCAAUCCAUGAUACUGAUUCCGUGGAAUGGAAGAUUACCUGUUAUGUUCUUCUUGAUUAGUUCUCAGUCUUUUCCAUGGAUUUCAUAUUUCAGGAUUUCCGUCAGCUUCUUGAUGAAAAACUUGAACUAUCAUUGAAGUUGAGAGACUUAACUAUUCACUAGGUACAAGAAGGAUUUCAAGAAUUCUUCAGAAAACUCAAUGAGUGAUUCCUUUUUCUUUCAGGCAAGAGUAAGUCAGGUAGCCAAGAUCUAAGUUUGACGCAGGGAGUGCAAGGAGAAAAGGUCCUUCCUGGGAUUGUUCUUCUGUUCGCUCAAUUAUCUCUUUUCAUUGGGCGAAGUGCUAUCCCAAGAAUUACCGAGGAAAUAGCUUCUUCCUUUUCUUCUGGUCGUGCUCGGGGUUAUGAGUAUGGCCCUGCUUUCAUCCCUGCAGUGAUUUGUCGCACCUUCUGGGUAGCUGGGGAGAAGUGCUUGGACCAUUAUGUAAGGUUAAGAGCUCAAAAGAUAUCAGUUAUGUUGCGGACGAGGUUUACAACACCAAACUGGGUUUAAGCACAACGAGCCAAGAGAGGUUCAUAUGUUUGUUGAUCUGCUGCUUCAAGAGUUCGAAGCCAUAAGAGGCGAAGUAAAGCAGAUUUUACCUCCAGAACUUAGCCGUAAACAUCGUCGUACAGACAGUAACGGGAGCACCACCACUUCUCGCAGCAAUCCUUUGAGAGACGACAGAAUGAACCGGUCAAAUACUCAAAGGGCCACGAGCCAGCUACUGGAAUCCCAUCUAGCAAAAUUGUUUAAACAAAAAAUGGAGAUAUUUAUGAAAAUUGAAUUCACACAGGUUUGGUAGGAGUGCUUGUUGCUAGGUAAUUUACAUUAUUCCCACCGGUAAUAUAGCUAUUUUUUAGUUC